GGUCGAUUCAAAAGUAGUUGGCUAUAGUAUUAUUAGUGAGAGCUCCUCCGUAAGUUGGUGUUUUCGUCGUAUUUAUGAGUAUUUACGGUUAACCAUCGAGCUAGGAGGAAGUAAAAAUGGAAGCUACUGACAACUUUCUCUGUCUUUAUCAGAAUGUACAAGAAAAAUGUUUAGAAGCACUUAACAAGUUUGAGGAACAUUUCUUGUGGUUAGAAGAGGUAACCGCUAAUGCCCGUCAGUUGUUUUCCUCCACUGAUCCAACUCUCUUGCCCAAGACCCCUCUGGGCAAAAAGAAAUCUCGACUAAAGAAACCUCGUCACUCAUCAA
Molecule: long non-coding RNA, 327 nt
Organism: Homarus americanus (American lobster)
Lineage: Eukaryota; Metazoa; Arthropoda; Malacostraca; Decapoda; Nephropidae
Exons: 3
Source: RefSeq, a predicted model, not a curated record